Long non-coding RNA from Cairina moschata (Muscovy duck), 2552 nucleotides. Lineage: Eukaryota; Metazoa; Chordata; Aves; Anseriformes; Anatidae. The record is from Ensembl.
UGCUGCUGCUCCUGCUGCUAAGGAGGCGAUCGCUGCUGUGGGGGAGCCUCGACCCUUCGGGAAAUGUCGGCGCUGCCCCACGGCGCCGCCCGGCUCCACCUCCGGCAGCGGGGAGGAGCUGCCCCGCCUCACGGCGGUGCCCCUCACCGCUCCCUGGGCGGGUGGCUGCGGCACGGCGACCCCCGGUGUGGCAGGAUCGUUGUCUUCACGUUUCCCCCUCACAGCCCACGGGGCUCGGCAGCCCCCGUCCCGGCAGGGGCAGGAACUGUGUGCUAUCAGACUUGUGCAUUUUCACAGAUAAACCUGCCAGGUGAUGCAUACAAUGACCGCACUGAAAAUAGGCACAGAAUAGCAGAGCUUGAGUUGUCCCAAAUGUUGUCCCACAAAAGUCAAGACAGGCACAGAGGCUUAUCAGCAAAAGCACAUCAGAACUGUAUGAAGAGAGAAGUAUGCAUCAAAUGAAUGCUGUUUUUCAAGAUUAUGCUGCUUUUUUACCACCUUGAUGCACUAAUUCAAAAACAGAUGUUGAAAAUGUAUGGAAAACUAAUGCCUGAAGUCCAUGUAUGGUUUUGGGGCCCUGUUUCAGUUUCAUAUGUACUGGCAAGUAUUUGAGCUUUCAUUUUAAAAUGCUGUGUUGUUUUUUUCUUUAUUUCACACUGUAAAAAAUGUAUUCAAACACAAACUAUCUGGACUUCCGAGUGUUUUAGUUUUAUUACCAUUAUCAAAAGACAUUGGAAUCAUUGUCUGGUUUAACUGCUACAGAAAGCAAUUUUCACUAGGUGUAACAAUUGUAAAUAGGAGAUAGAGUUUACUAUGGACAAGGCAAUACCACUGUGAUACAAAAGUAAUUCUAAUCUGAUAAGAGAUUUAACGGGGGAAAAAAGCACUUCAAGAUUUGAUUACCCCAUCACUUUGAACAUAACAGACAAGACAAUCAAAAGAUUUUCUGUUAACAUUGUUCAAAAAGGGUUUAUUUAAGCAUGUGUGUUGAAUCAAAGUCAGAGAGACUUGACUAUUCACGGACAAUUAUUUCCUAAACAAAGAGAAACAACAACUGCACUAACAACUUAUUUUGCUACUAUAUGUUCUAGAUAACUGCUUACUAAUUAGUAAUGAUGAGAAAAGAUAACGCAUGCAGAUAAAUGUCUGUGACUUCUAUUGUAUUGUUUUUAAGUGAAUUAGAGACCCAAAUAAAACUGAAUAAUCCCUAUUUGCAUAGAAUUGUGUAAAUAUUUCCUGUGGAAACCUGAAACCACAUGAAACUCAGGUAGUUUGACUUUGAAAGAAACCAGUUCUGUGUAUACAAACACAAAGGCUGGAUUAGAGAGUACACCACUAAACUUGCAGAUGUCUUAUCUGUUAAGUGCAGGAGUCUCCCAAGCCUGCAUUGUGAUUUAUUUUCAAGGAUUUCAAGAAACUGGUGAUCCUUGUUUGCAAAAGUUCCAGAUAAAUGGAAUGCAACACUUUUUUUUUUUUUUUAUAGUAUGUUGAGGUUCUAGCAAAUCUCAGUAUUAAGAAAAACUGCAAGGUUGAGAAAUCAAAUGAAUCAAAACUGACAUUUGGGUUUCUGAUGGGUAACACUGGGAAAAGACAAACUUAAAAUUUAUAGUUUCAGCACUGAGAUUGUCAUCGAUGGAUACUUAUUUGUUCUUAUGUGGUCUUUAUAUAAAAUAUGUUUAGUAAAAGCUUUCCUCUUGAUACAAGCCUCCCCAAAGAGAUGCAGAUACCUGUAAAUGGGUAUUUGUAAAAGGGAUAGUUCUCUGCUCUCGGACUUUGAACCCAAAGAGUACUGCACUGAUUCCUGUUGCAUGUUUUUUUUAAUAGAAUCAUAGAAUAACCUGUACUGGAACGGACCCAUGAGGAUCAUCGAGUCCAACUCCUGGCUCCACACAGGUGUACCCUAAAAUUCAGACCGCAUGACUGAGAGCAUAGUCCAAAUGCUUCUUAAACUCUGACAGGCUUGGUGCCGUGACUACGUCCCUGGGGAGCCUAUUCCAGUGCUCUUAAAAGCAACGUGGUCAAACAGAUUUGGCUGUUUAUCAGCUCCAAACUGCAAUUUGAUAAAAUCCCCAUCUCCUUUGUUCAUCUGGAUUCAGGGAGUUUGCUUUACACCUUCAUUUUAGGCAGUACCAUGUCAUGGAGCUUUUGCUAUCCUUUUCCUAGCCCUUAGACCAGAGGUAUUUUGAUAACAGGUCUUAUCUGGUGCAUAGGAUGCUUGGAGGUUGUAGCUGAGUGGCUAUUAUGUUAAGCGUUUGACUAUUUUUUAGCUUGAUUAGUUGCCAAAGACACCAAGCGGCAUUUCAGCCCGUCGAUCUGGACAGACGACACUGCAGCCUUUUCUCCCUUUCCCCACAGCCUUCCCCGGGCCUGCAGCCUCGGCUGAAAACAGCCCCGCUGAAACCCCCGGGUGGCUCUGGGGGGACCUCGAGCGGCCGGGGCCGGCUCCGACACCCGGGCCCCGCCUGAGGGGAGGUGCGGGGCGAGGUGAGGCGGGCCCGGCCCCGGCCCCGGCCCCGGCCCCGCCGCCUCCCGUGGCGCCGCCUUGGCCCUCG